This 337-nucleotide ribosomal RNA is filed under the name uncultured bacterium. RNAcentral describes it as "bacterial SSU rRNA". It matches the Rfam family "Bacterial small subunit ribosomal RNA", at positions 8 to 331 of the family's 1533-position model. The record is from RNAcentral.
AGAGUUUGAUCCUGGCUCAGAACGAACGCUGGCGGCGUGCCUAACACAUGCAAGUCGAACGGAGUGAAGGAGCUUGCUCUUUCAUUUAGUGGCGCACGGGUGAGUAACGCGUAGAUAAUCUGCCUUAGACUCUGGGAUAACAUCUCGAAAGGGUGCUAAUACCUGAUAAGCCCACGAUGGCGAAAGUCGUUGCGGGAAAAGGGGGCCUCUGAAUAUGCUCUUGAUCUAAGAUGAGUCUGCGUACCAUUAGCUAGUUGGUAGGGUAAGAGCCUACCAAGGCGACGAUGGUUAGCUGGUCUGAGAGGAUGAUCAGCCACACUGGAACUGAGACACGGUC